UGGUGGCUCAGUGGUAGAAUUCUCGCCUUCCACGCGGGAGACCUGGGUUAGAUUCCCAGCCA
Molecule: transfer RNA, 62 nt
Filed under: Loxodonta africana (African savanna elephant)
Lineage: Eukaryota; Metazoa; Chordata; Mammalia; Proboscidea; Elephantidae
Rfam family: tRNA
About the family: Transfer RNA (tRNA) molecules are approximately 80 nucleotides in length. Their secondary structure includes four short double-helical elements and three loops (D, anti-codon, and T loops).
Source: Rfam by way of RNAcentral